CGAGUUUGAUCCUGGCUCAGGAUGAACGCUAGCGGCAGGCUUAAUACAUGCAAGUCAAGGGGGUAGCAAUACAACCGGCGCACGGGUGAGUAACGCGUACACAACAUACCAUAUACUGGAGUAUAGCUUUGGGAAACUGAAGGUAAUCCUCCAUAACAUUGCGAGAGGGCAUCUGAUUGCAAUUAAAGUUUCGGCGGUAUAUGAUUGGUGUGCGUUUGAUUAGCUAGUUGGUAGGGUAACGGCCUACCAAGGCGACGAUCAAUAGCUGGCGUGAGAGCGCGACCAGCCACACUGGAACUGAGACACGGUCCAGACUCCUACGGGAGGCAGCAGUAGGGAAUAUUGGACAAUGGAGGAAACUCUGAUCCAGCCAUGCCGCGUGAUAGAUGAAGGCCCUCUGGGUUGUAAAUAUCUUUUAUCUGGGAAGAAACACUCCUAUUCUUAGGAACUUGACGGUACCAGAGGAAUAAGCACCGGCUAACUCCGUG
This 488-nucleotide ribosomal RNA is filed under the name uncultured bacterium. Its description in RNAcentral is "bacterial SSU rRNA". It matches the Rfam family "Bacterial small subunit ribosomal RNA", at positions 9 to 507 of the family's 1533-position model. The record is from RNAcentral.